AGCCUCCGCUAAUAUACGGUUAUGGGACUGCAAUAAUGGGAAGCUCUGCUAGAGAACAUGGCCUUUGGUAUUUAAUUAGUCACAUGUGCAGCUUUUCUUCUACGCAAUAGAUUUUGAAUCUAUAUUUAUUGUUGUAACAACUAGAAGACAAAACCAGAAAAAAGUCUAAUCUGCCUCACUAUUGAGAAAAGCAAGAGCAAAAUCUAACAAACCCAUGUAUAAAUGGGAGAAAGCUAUGAUUUAGGAAAUUUCUUUUUACUCUUAAUACAAGAGGUAAGUUUGGGGGUGGCGGGGGCAGGCAGAACCCAGGAAAUUAGUGUCGGUACCUAUAAAGAACAUUAGCAUAUGUCUGGCUAUGUUUUGUUGGCUGCUCCUGACCUUUCAGCCAUCCUGGGAACUUUCUGAAGGUGAUCUCUGUAUUGCAUAUCUUUGCAGGCAGAGUUUUUCUCUAAAAAUACUUGAUCACACUAGAAAUCCUUUUUUCUUCAUAGGCUUUCCUUUGGUGUGUCAAAGAUUCAAUUGGUGCCACUCAAUUAAUUCCCUGUGUUUCAGUGAAUUCUCUGACUACAUUAUGCUUUUGGGUAAUUGUCUGCAAAAACCCUGUAAAAACAUGUAAUUGGAUUUGUUUGUAUAACUCUUAUGCCAAAAUAUUGCUCCAUGACCUUUUACCAUUGAGAGAGAAUAUUUUUCCUCACCUUGGAAAAAUCUCUGAUGCUGAAAGUUUUAUGGCACCCUACAUUCCUUAUUUUCCUGUUUUAAAAAGUAGUACUGAUUAGUGAUACCUGAAUAUAGUAAAGGAUAAGUUAAGUGCACAGGUUCCAACUCUUAAUAGGGUUUAUAGGGCAUCAGGAAGCUCAUAUAAUACUUUCAAAAAUAACUGCUGGGCCUUUCCCGCUCUUAAAAUUGCAUCCAGAUGUGGCUCUCUAAACAUGGCAGUGGCUUCACAUGCUGAUGUCUGAGGAUGUGUUAAAUCAGAUAAUAGUAGUGAUUUUGGCUGUUGUCUCAUCUGUGAAGAUCAUGUCGUUGAACUUCAUGUUGCUUUCAAGCCAUUCUAGGGCUUUGUUUGUUGCAACUGUUAGUACUUAGGACCUCCUGAAGCAAAGGGCAAUGUGUAUUAAAAGAAUAUUAAUUCUGUUACAGUUUUUACAUUAUUGUAUUGUACUUCAUACUUUUUCAUACAUUUAAUUUCAGUACUUGUGCUUUGUUAUUACAUUCGACAUCACUGUGUCUUUCUGUAGCACCAGCUGUUCUUUUGAUCAAUUCAGUUAACGUUUCUGGGGGUUAUGCCCACCUCAAAUUUCUCCGUGUAUUCACUGAUCUUAGGUGAAGCUCACAAUCUUCUUCAAAAUCACUUCUCUUUUUGAAUAUCACUUCAAGAUAAAGAAAAAGAACAAAACUAGACCCAGACUUCCUUUUUAUAGUACCAUUUCUCUGUAUUCACCAUAUGCAUUUCCUUGGAGAUCUCCUCUUAUCCAUUGCACAAACGUCCAAUGACAAAUAUCUCAAAGGACUGGAACAAGAAAUUUGGAUGCCCAUCCCAGCAAGUAGUGUGUUCCUCUGUGUGGCAUCUCUUAGAGAAUAGUGCUAAACUUUCAACUAAUCUUGACCAAGUUACAGCUGAUAAAAUUCCUCAUCUUUUUAUGAAAUUUGGUCUACAGCUCUUUUUAAGUAAUCUUUUAAACAGCUUGUGAGCCAAGAGCCACCAAUUAGUGGUCAAGCCUUGCUACUCCCAAUUGUUCCAACAGUGUUAAAAGGCUGCUUGACUCACAAGUGGGGGACAAAGUCAGUUUCUUGGCAGUACCAGCUGGCAUUCCAUUGUGAACUAAUUGCAGCAUGUCAAGAUGGAGCAGUCACAGAUCAUCCAGUGAGACAUGAAGGCUCUUCAGUUUCUUAGUGAAGACAGCGUAAUCAUGGAAUUUAUGGAAACAAGACAUCGGAAGGGUGAAGUUGAGGAAGGUGCCAAAGUAAUACUUCACCACAAAUGUCCAAGAGAUGACAGGCAGUGAUUUGAAGUAAAACUUCUCAAGAUAGGAGAUUUCCUCUUCUUUCAAGAACAUUGGAGAUGUUGUGAUGACUUUGAGAUGGGACAAAAAAAGUCAAAAGAAAGCAAAGUAAAAUGAAAAUGUAGCUGAGAGAAUAGAACAAAAUCAGGGCCAUUGUUGGAAACCCAGUCCAGGAAAUCUUGGAGUGCUGGAAGAGGAGAAAAUGUUUCAUGAACACUGGGAUUGGAAGUCUGAGGGCAUGGAAGUUCCUGGAAUAUAUCAAGAACGCCAUCCUCAACCUGAACAGGCUUAAGCUACCAUUCUAUGUAGAUGUGUUUGAUUUCCUGGACACCAUCACUGACAUAUGACGAUGAGGUGCUCAUCAGUAUACUGACCACGAAGGUGCAGAAAUAAACCUGAGAAAAUGAGAUUCUACAUGCCCAUUUGGGGAAAGAGCUCAAGAAACUAAGUAGGAAGUUGAAACAAUUGAGUCCAAAGCGUAGGCAUGGGCUCAGGAAUGGUAGCCAAGGGCGAUUACGUUGCAAGAAUUUGCUGUUGGGCUUCCUGCCUUUCUUAUCUUGCAGUGAUGGACUUACCAGGGAUAUUGCAGACUGAAGAUUGAGUGAACAAGGACAUCAGUGUCUUCAGUGGUUUCUCCUAGAUGUUUGCUCUAUUAGUGCCUGCGCACAACAUUCUUCAUCUGUGGCUGCUGAAACUUUUCUGCCCUACAUGUAUUCUCAUCCCCAGUUUUUGAUGAUGAGCUGGAGUUCAUAGUGUAUAGUGUAGAGCUGAAUGUUAUUGUUUUGGAAGUCACAAAAACCACAGAAGAUCUUCAGAAACAGCACUGCUGAAGCCUACUGCAAAUAGCCGAGAAAAGCCAGUGUACAGUUGGUCAAUGGAAAAUCUCUACUAUUGGAGAACUUUGUGAGUUGAAGUGGAACAGAAGGAAAACUAUUUUCAGCCUUAAAGAAUGACUAGUAUUUUUAAUCACAGUUAAAAUCAGUGAGGGUGGAACAUUUUCAGCAUUCCAUCUUCAAAUCUUAAUAAAUACCCCAAAAAACAAACAUAAAAACCUCACUCCCCCCGCCCCCAAACCUCUGCAGCACAUGAUAAUUGCUUUCCUUUCUAAUUGAAUAAAGUUAUUUUUGUUGAUUGUGUUACUUUAAUGGAUCCUUAAGAUUUUAUAAUCUUUAAGAGUCUUUGCAAAGACAGGUUUGAGAUAAACUUGAGUUUUAACUCUUUGAUUAAUUCCACCUCAAGUGAUUACUUUUCUGUGAGAUGGUGGAAUGUCCGUUUAGUAUCCUGUUGGUUCUUAAGAAAAGGUGGAAGUUCUUGGAAUAGGAGGAGAGGUGCUGUAUGAUCUCAAAAGCAUGAGAUUCUGAAGCUGUUCAGUGGGAGGAAGUGCUCAGCACCUGAUAAUUUGUUAGAGGAGAUAUGAAAAAGCUUUCCAUCCUUUUGCUACCACCCACAGUUCUAGUGAUCAUAGUGCUACUUGGGUCAACUAUUGUGCGUGAACUCUUGUGAUGUGAGUCAGACCUUGGCACAGGUAAGAUUGUAUUCUUGAAAUCCCUCUAAAGUUAAAGAAAUACAUAGAUACGUAAGUGAAUGAAUCAGAUGCUUUUACUCAAUGUAACCUUUUCAAGCAGUGUUGUAACAGGUAAACUCCAAUACCUAUAAUCAGCUUCCAAGGAGAGUAGAGUUUCACGUUGUUUGAAUUGGAUCUCUUUAUUGGCUUCAUUCAUUUCUAUAAACCCAUGCCCCCCAAACAUGUUCACCUUUGCUCUAAUGUUCUCGGACAGUCCCAUGUUUUUGCCUCUUGACCCAUCACAGUUCACUUUGCUAGCUCAAGAUUUGUACUGUUGGUCUCCACAAAAACAAAUUCUGCUAGUCUUAUGGAGAAACUGAGGGAGAGUUUUGACAAUUUCAUUCUCUUUAUUGGUCUGACAGUCUUAAUGCUCUUAUCUAUCUGUGGCCCAUCAGCAGUAGGUCUCCUGCAUACAAGGCCUGUCCUCUGAAUAUUAAUAUUCAUAUUGUCUGAUCCUUCUCCACUUGAGGGUACUAAAUUGUUCUUCUCUGAAAAAUGAUUAUUUAAAAAUAUUAUAGGAUACCAUGGUCAUUAUUUUUUUUCAUUUAUUCUCUACCAUCUCUGGAAUGCUAAAUCUUAACCUGAACGGCAAACUGACCCUGGACUUCUGCAUUACAACAGAAGACUAAUGGGGUUGUACCAGUGUAAAUGAGGGCAUAAUCUAGUCACUGAAAUAUUUAUUAUUGAUGAUACAUGAGAGAGAGAGAGAAAAUCCAGCUCCUCUUUCAGACGCCAGGUUGAAUUUGCUGUGCUGGCUGUUCGAGAGGGAUAGGGGGAAUCUCUUAUGUGUAAGCUGAGCAAACUUGGAAUGGAAAUCGUUGAGAAAUGUGGAACCCCACAUUAACUCUUUAAGUUACUUUUCUGAAUGGAACUGCAGUUUAAACCUUUCAGAACACUAAGCAAUUUAUUGUAUGAUAUAGGGGAGAGUAUCUUCCAUCUGUCCACUGGAAGAGUGGAAGACGCAUCUUCCCCUGUCCCCAUGUGUUCCUGCACCCCCAUGUGUCCUUGCACCCACCUGUCCACAUGUCCCUUCCCUCCACUCAGAUACCCACUUCCCCUGUCCCUAUGUGGCUCUGUACCUGCUCCCCAUCCACAUGUGUCUCAGUGCCCCACCCAGCCACCCCCUGUCCCUAUCUGUCCCUGUACCUCCUCCCCGUGUCUCUGUGCUCCCACUCAGCCGCCGUGUCCCUGUACCUCCUCCCCCUUUCCCCAUGUGUCUGUGCCCCCACUUAGCCAUUCUCUGUCCCUAUGGAGCUCUGCACCCCCUCCCUCCCUCUCCCCUGUGGCCCUGCCCCUUCACUCCCAUUCAGCCCCAGCCCCUGUUUGACCCCCCAGCACCUCAUGCUGGCUGUCUCCCCAUCGCCCCUCUCUCCUGACCUGACCGGCACUGCAAAGAAAGCAGGAUCUUUCUCUUCCGUGGCUGGCUGGGAGCUGCUGCUUUGUUCUAUUGACACAAUGCCCUCUGGUGAGUAAAAGGUGGAACUGCAGAAGUGAUUUUCUGCUGGGAGUGGCUGCUAUUCUUCUACCACAGUGCCCUCUGGUGGGCAAAAGGCGGAACUGCAGCAUGUUUCAGCAGCAGCUUUUUUGCACAAAAAAUUAAAAAUAUGCAUGGCUUAUUAAUUAUGCAUGCGCACAGUAGUGCAGAAUUCCCACCGGAGUAGAGAUUUUACUACUGAAAGGGAGAAAUAGAUAAAACUAGACUCACUGAUCAGGGAAUUCAGUAGAAUAAUAUUGCUGUUUGUAUUUGGCAUUGAGAUUCCCCUCUCCUCCAACUUCUUCUGAGAAAUAAAAAUGCUGCAUGGCAUUUCUGAUUAGUGAGACAUUUAUAUUUCAAAAGAUACAGUAGGUGACUUGGAGAAAUGUAUAUGAAGUGUAGGGAAAUUUGCUAUAGAACACAGCAUUCAACAUCACUAGAUAAUUGAA
Molecule: long non-coding RNA, 5490 nt
Organism: Gopherus evgoodei (Goodes thornscrub tortoise)
Lineage: Eukaryota; Metazoa; Chordata; Testudines; Testudinidae
Exons: 3
Source: RefSeq, a predicted model, not a curated record